GGAAGAGAAGAGGGUGAUUGCAAAACUCAUACCGGAAGCGAUUGGUGAUUGCGAAGGCGAGCGCCUUGAUCCACGUGGUGCCACACUUGGGGUUCGUUGCGAGAACGAUGUCGUCGUGGCGAGGUUCGAAGGUGUUCUGGAGGCGCAUGAUGGUUGCAGCGAAACGUGGACGGAGCCAGUAGUUCUUGUAGAGCACCAAUGGCUCCGACCACCCCUCCCUCGUUGGAAGUUUGGAUAGAGGAUCACCAGUACCGUGGCUAUUUGUGGCGCUUCCCUCCAUGCCUUGUGCCAUAGCUCAGCUGCUUUGGAGUGUUCUAACCUUAAAAGCUGGGACGAUGGAUUGGGUGGGUGCGUGUAGACCUGCGGAUUGAAUACAGAGAGCAGCUCUGAUGCUGGUGGCUAUCAAUGCUGUGCAAGUUACCAUAUAUAGGAUUAAAAUAUAAUCUCGUGAUUAGCGAGUAUGUUUUUAUAUUCCUAAAGAAAAGGGACAGAUAAGAUCAUAUGGCGGGGACAUAGCUCAAGUUCUUUAAUUUGGAUCCUGACAAAGGGUUGCUUGGAUGAGAAAAGUAUUAUGUAACAACAUACUUACUAUCUCGACUCUAAAAAAUCCAAAAAGGCGAAAAAAAACUUCCUAGGUCAGGGUUCCUCCGGUCGGUUCUGCGUCCACGAGCCACCCCGCGCCGCCUGCUUCGGCUCCCUCCAGCUCGCACUUCCUGGUUUGCCCUCCGAUCGAUUCGGCGUCCGCGAGCCUCCCCCGCGUCGUCCGCUUCGCCUCCCUCUAUCCUGCCCUUCCCGGUUUGCCCUCCGAUCUCCAGCGCCACCCGCCCUACUCCUCCGCGGUCUCCCUGCGCCGCCACCGCCGCCCGCCCUACUCCUCUCCGCAGUCUUCCUGCGCCGCCGCCGCCGCUCACCCUCCUCCUCUCCGCGGUCUCCAUGAGCCGAGCGCCGCUACCCGCCCUCCUUCUCUCCUCGGUCUCCCUGCGCCGCUGCCACCGCUCGCCCUCCGCCACCGCCGCCCUACUCCUCUCCUCGGUCUCCCUGCGCCUCCUCCGCCGCUCGCCCUGCGCUGCCAUCACCUGCCCUCCUCCUCUCCUCGCUCGCCCCGCGCCGCAGUCACCUGCCCUCCUCGUUCUCCCUGCGCUGAAGUCGCCCGCCCUCCUCCACGCUCUCCCUGCGCCGCAGUUGCCCGCCACUACUCCUAGUUGUCGUGCCGUCGUCGGGGACACGCUACCAACGAGCCAGGUACCUCUUCUCAGACGACCUACAACACCGGAGUUCGAUUACAUCCUGUAUUGUUCAAACAUAAGUCUUCACCAUAGUCUCUGUGAUUGAAAGCAUCUUUUUUUUGUGUGUUCUAUACAAUGUUAGUCACUCCUCUUUGAGAACAACCGAAGAGGGUGUUUUGUCAUAGGGCAACAUGCUAUAUGUCGUGCCCCAGAUACAUGCUGAAUUGAAAAUGUAAUUUGUGUGCAGUUGCUUGGCUACCUAUGUUUUGACCAAUAUGAGGCGCAAAGGAAAAGUUCCUCAUUUAUCGUUUCUUUAGCUAUUAUUAGUAGUGUGGUAGAAGAUCCCAAUUUGUACUUAUUAGCAGGAGAGUAGAAUUACCUUGAUCACCUCAUAGAACUUCGGAUCCAAGUGAACUGGCCUACUAUACAACCACGGCAGCUCUAAUGUCCAAGUUGAGAAACAAUGCUAAUAGCACAAAUACUGUUGGAGAGGCACGCCAUUUCUGCAAAGAAAGAAAUCAGAUCAAGCUAAAACAACACUAUUUGAAUGAAAAAUGAAAUGUGGUGCAUGCCUGAAUCAAUUUGAACUGCACCAGCCUACAAAGUGGUCGGCCAGUCGAUUUAACUGUAAUUUUCAUUUCUGGACCAACAACAACUGAUCUCGAACAAUACAGGUUCCAGUUUCUAACAAAAACUGCAUUUAUCCAAUCACUGUUACAAACUAUUAUUUGAUGGGUCUAAAAUAUAAAAUAAACAAGGAUGGCGAAUUUCAUCCAUUAGAAAGUGACAGCCCACUAUCUAUGCUUGAAUUGCUCCUAGAACCUGUGGACUGUCACAUAUAAUCUGCUACUGCCCUUCAGGUGAUACAGCUGAAUCAUUUGCAAUCAGCCAAACUGCAUAUUUCAGGACAGUUCACUGACAACUGAUGACCAAGAUAUCUGAUAAUUUGGCAUAGAUAGCGAGCAUCCCCAUCUGUAGUCGUCAACAGCAGAACGAAAUUACCUUGAACAUCUGACAGAGCUUCGUAUCCCAAGUGAAUUGGUGCCCAGCUUGUAGGGCGAGCGAGGAGGAGGGCGGGCGGCGGCGGCGGCGCAGGGCAACACCGGAGUUCGAUUCUGUUGUCUAGGGGGUGUUUGGAUCCUUGAGCUAAAGUUUAGUCCGUGUCACAUCGAAUAUUCGGAGGCUAAUUAGGAGGAUUAAAUAUGAGUUAAUUAUAAAACUAAUUGCACAGAUGGAGACUAAACGGCAAGACGAAUCUAUUAAGCCUAAUAAAUCCAUCGUUAUGAAAUGAUUACUGUAGCAGCACAUUGUCAAAUCAUGAACUAAUUAGGUUUAAUAGAUUCAUCUCGCCGUUUAGCCUCCAUCUGUGCAAUAAGUUUUGUAAAUAUUCGAUGUGAUAGGGGCUAAAGUUUAGCCCUGGAACCAAACGACCCCUUAGUUGGCUUCUCUGAAUUUUGAUUACUGAAUAGCAAUUGGUAUGCUAACGUGAUUUGAACCAUUGUUCAUCCAGUGCAUGUCAAAGUCAAACUAAAGAUCAUUCUUUGGCUAGAGAUAUUUUGUGUUUGGCUAGAUCAUUCCUUGGAUGGAUUUUGAAUAAAUAAAUUCAUGAUUAGCCUGUUUAGAAAUUGCACAGAUCCAUUAUGUCUGAGUGUUUUCUAAAUGAAACUUCUGAUCUAGGCCACACCACAUUGAUAUAAUCAUAUUCAGUAUUCAGUACUCAAUUAGGCAUUAAUCACGUAACAAGUUGUUGCCAGGGCAAAUUACAGUGCUCAUUUUAGCGAUUCUUGUUGAUCUCUCUUUGUUGGGUAUGGUCAGGUCUUACUUAGUUCAAUGUUUCAUGAUACUAUGAUGUGCAACAAUUCAGUUUAUUUUACAUAUUUCAUUUAAAUUAUGUUCAGCUAUCUUUCUAAAUCCCCUGCAAGACUGGAUAGGCAUUCAGGCUGCAGAACUGUUGGAUGCUUACUAUAAAUUAGGCUUUUACCAUCUACUGACUGUCCUAGGCUGCUAGGAAUCUCAGCAAAUAAGAAUUGUUGGAUGCUUACUAUAAAUUAGGCAUCAAUCACGCAACAAGUUGUUGCCAGGGCAAAUUACAAUGCUCAUUUCAGUGAUUCUUGUUGAUCUCUCUCUGUUUGGUAUGGUCAGAUCUUGCUUAGUUCAAUGCUUUGAUCUAGCAUAUUUUUGUAAUUAACUGUGUUAUUACUAAUGUACAGGAGUGUUAUGAAUGGUUCGGGAAACCAUUACAACGUAACGAGGAUGAAAAUAUCGGAAGCCCGAGUGACGUUAGAGAAAUAAUGGAACCUAACGAGAUUCAGCAGAUCAAACAAAAGAGGAAAUCCACAAACGGCCAUGAAAAUGCACUUAAACCGAAGAAAAUCGAUACAGAGAUUGAUUCAGAUAAGCAAGAUGUUCUUCUAUACUACAAGGACUGGCCCUUGAAGAGAGAUGAGUUAGCUGAGAUUUUUUAUGAUUAUGUUUUGACAAUCGAGGAUCCUGCGGAAUUGAAGUAAGCUCAGUAGUUCAUACUUCAUCACUUUCGUUCACUAAUAGUAUUGCCGUUUAUUAUGAUUUCUUAUGCAUCGUCCCUAUCUAUUGUUUUGCAGUAUAGUUUGGGUAAGCAGUGAUUUGCCCUAUAAAAGUGUGUAUAAACUCGGUGAUCUCAAGGUGUUGUUGAAACGAGGUUCACCCAUACCUGAACCAUUUUUCAACUUAGGUGUCCGGUUUCUUGCAAACCGAGAGGUUAAAGGGAUGAUAAGGUACAACAACAAGGUUGCAAAGCAUCACGUGGAUCUGCGGUUUUGUGUAAGUUAGCUUGUUUAUAAUUACAAUCAUACUGUGGAAUAUACUGCAUUCAUUAUCUGUCUAUUUAUAUUUAUUAUACAUAAAAUUGAUAAGUGGUACUGAUCAUGGCUAUAUAUCAUUCCGCUUCAGAAAAUGUUGGAGUUAACACGUCAUGAAAAAUAUUGUACACAUCGCAAUGGUAAAGAGUUGGGUGAUGUGAUUGGUGGAUGGGAAAUAGUAAAAUAUAACAUACUAGGUUGCAGAUAUGUAAGUUCUUUUCAUGUUGUUAUUUGUUCAUUACAUAUCCUUUGUGGUCUUAAUAUUGAGUGCUUUGCAGUUUCUCUUGCCACGGAAACACGUCAAUACCUACCUGCUUUAUGUACUCGACAUUAAGCGGAGAAACUUAUUGUGAUUGACACUAAACUCAUUCCAAAAUAUGCCACAGAUGUGCCAUAUAAACAUUAUGCGAUAUAGAUUGUAGGGUUUCGCCUAAAAUUUUUGGUCGCAUUUAGACAGCUUAAACCUGAUUCAUGGGAGGAUGUUCACAAAUAGGAAUUUAAACGUGCGAAAGGGAUUGCGGAAGACACUGAUGGGUAAGACCAGCUCUGACACACCGGCAUUUUAGAGUGUCAAUAUCCUUUAUUUCUUAAAAUAUAUGUUUCUAUAUUUAUAUAGCUGACGAUUCAUCGUACCACAGAUUUUCAGAUGGAUGGUUUAUUCUACAGUACAUGGCAUGGUGGGAUAGUCCUCGAAACGUGCACAUCGAUACAGUGAGUAAAUAUACUUUAUUGUACGUUCCUUUGUGAUUUUACAAUAUACGAUAAAUCUAAUCACACGAGAGCUAAACUUGAAGUAAGCACUCAACUUACGUACAUGAUGCUAUUACGAUGCGGCGCAACUUCUUCAUCGAUCUUUUGGUGCACGAAGCGAAUGCCUGGAGGACACUACUACCAGGCAUUGUGAAACAUUAUCUUUGGCGCAUCACAGGCAAAGAAAUAGGAUAGAUGGGGGUGGCCUUUGGAUGAACUCUAUUCGUAUUUGUUCCACAUGAUUAUUAUCCUGCUGAAUCCAAUGUUGAAGGUUGUUUAAGUCGCCGUUAGAGCUUGCUAGAGAUAAAUACGAUGUAAAGGUGAUUAACUGCCAUAUAUUGUUUGGGAAUUGGUCACAUAAUUAUUCUUUUGCAAGUUGACAUAAAGAGCAUCCAAGCGUACUUAUGCUUAUGUUAUUACUCAUUACAAAGUCAUUUUUUAUUUCACAUUGGGGGCAUUUGGAAGUAAAUAUUUCACACGAUAAUGUUGAUGUUUAUAGACGAAAUUUGUUUUGCCCGUAGCAACGCACGGACACGAUCGUGUACUUAAAAACCAAAGCCGUAGCGGUGACGGUGGUCCAGCUCUUCUCUCCUCACCACUGACACAUGCACCCACAUGUUUUUCAUAACACAAGGCCGGAUCCCUUGAGCUUCUCUUCCAUGAUGUAAUCCAACUUUCUCCCCAUCUCUUCACUCAUAUAAUUUACCCAAUCACCUACCUUGCCUCUCCUGAAGAAGGCUGAUUUCUCGUAGACCACAUUGGGUCUUGGACGGAGCUUCAAGUUUCCGGCCCUAUUAGCCUCCAAGCCACUAAGCAUCUCAAAGCUGCACAACCUUACCACCUGCUCAUGAACACCAUCCUCUUCUUCCUCGCCGGUGAAUGGGACACCGAGGAACAAUGCAAGUUUCUUGACAUACCUCACAGGAUCUGACAUCAUGUCUUCAUAUUUCAGGAACAGAAUCCUAUCAGGGCUCGCGAUGCUUUCUUUCCAGUACUCGAGACAAUGGUUCCAAAAGGGCCCACUGGGCAAAGAACCCUCGCAAAACCUAUUGAACAUGGAGUCCAAGUCAGGAGCAUGUCCUCCAUGUAUCCUUUUCAAGAAAUGCCACAAUGACACAAAGGCAUCCUUGGGCUCUCGGCAAAUAUAAACAAUACGACAACCAUGGCUAGCUAUGGAUCCAGGAAGAAGUGACAUGGGCAUGUGGGUAGACACAAGCCUCGGGGAGGGAAGCGUCUCAACAUAGCUUAGGUCCUCAUUUGUAGGAAUUUCCAGGAAAGGCACUACCUCCUGUGGAUGAUGGGUGAGGAGCGGGUGGUCAUGGAAGUUGUAACGGUGGCGGGUGGUGAUAGUGAAGGCAAGUGCCUUGAGCCAUGUGGUGCCACACUUGGGGUUUGUGGCGAGGAUGAUAUCGUCGUGGCGAGGCUUGAAGAUGUCUUGGAGGAGCAUGAUGUUUUUGGCGGUCUGUGGCCACAGCCAAUAGUUCUUGUAGAGCACCAAGCCUUCUUUUGGUGGAAGUUUGGACACAAGAUCAUCAAUGUGGCUCUCGGCUGAGCUUCCCUCGUUGUUGGGAUGAGCCAUGGCUGGUUUUAUAUUUUGGGCCUUUUGGCAGGUGAUGGAUCCAACAAACAGGCAGCUAGCUAGCUAAAAGGUUCUGCUUCAACCCGCGGAUUGAGCUAGCUGCUCUGCCUGGUGGAGCUGAUACUAUUAUAUAGUUGAAUUGAAUGUCGCUGAUAUUAUUAUUGAAUUAGUUCACUAGUCACUAUUGUAUAGUGAGGUAUGGGCAUGGAUGGUAACAUCAUAUCUUCCUAUCUGUGGUAUGGGCAUGGAUGGUAACAUCAUAUCUUCCUAUUUGUGGUAUGGGCAUGCAUGGUAUGGGCAUGGAUGGUGUUUUUUUUUUGGAAGUUUGGAUAGAGGAUCAUCAGUACCUUGGCUAUUUGUGGCGCUUCCCUCCAUGGCUUGUGCCAUAGCUCUCAGCUGCUUUGGAGUUCUUGCGCGCUCUACAGCUGGGACGAUGGAUUGGGUGGGUGCGUGUAGACCUGCGGAUUGAGCAGCUCUGCUGAUUGGCUUGCGCAUGCAUCUCCGGCUGUUGGGAUAAUACUCCCUUCGUUCUAAAUUGUAGGUCGUUUUGACUCUUUUAGGUUCAUAGAUAUUAUUGUACAUCUAUAUAUGUGUAGAAAAAUUUUAAAACGGAGGAAGGAAGUAUAUAAGAUGAACGUAUGCUCUUGCAAUUGUUGAGUUAGUUCACUGAUUAAUGUAUACAGUUGAGGAGAUGGAUGUAUACUGCCUAACAGAAUAGCAUGAAUGCACGCUUGUUUCAGUGAGGCCGUCUUUCUAGCUAGGACACUGUAACCUCGAGCCGUACAGAUGUUAAUGUGCUGGUGACCCAAUAUAAUUUGACUAUAGUUUAUCAUUUUCCCUUCCUUUUGCCUUUCAUUUGAUCCGUAUCGCUGUUUCAGAAAAUUGGUCGUUUCUUGUAUUUUGCUAGGUCGUCAGAGACCAUUUCAGUAAUCGUAAGUCAACGCAAGGUCCAAGAUGUUCCUUUAGUUUUUUUUUAAAAAAUAAGGCUUAUUAUAGUUGAAGGGCCUAAAUUUGAGGCAGAAUCUUGUUUGGGCCUGAAAGUGAAACUGUUGGGAUUGGGCUGGUGGGCUUGAUCGCGGGCUUAUACGGGUUUGUUUCGUGAAUACCGUACUGCCAGCCCGAGAGUGCACGUUCAUGAAUGGUAACCUCAAGUUCAGAUGCACCUGUACAUUGCUGGGGGCAUGAGGGAUAUGGGUAUCCCAUAGGUUCCCACCGAUACGGAUCUGAUAAGUAGGCCCGCUCGUUCAGGACAUGCGGGCUGAGGACAUGAAGUUAUCCAAAUCUACCCGUAUACUGUGGCACGCGUACUGUAAUCCGAUUUAGAUUUGUUAGGAUUGAUCUCUUUCCAGAUUUAGUCCAACGGCCAAAUCCGAGAAGGAUCCCCAAUGGCGUCCUCGACGACUACUUCACUCAAGACCGACGGUCAGUGUCUCUUUCUCCAGGAUGUCACCGUGUAGAUCUAGUACUUCAUGUUGUUUAUCUAAAUCAAGUAGAAGACCCACUAGAUUAGCACCUAGAAGUUCCUGUUAAUCCUAUCAAGAUUACCUUUCCAUGUAAUACCGAGUAUAUUAGAUUCAAAUCGACAUGUAACUCUUAGUCGUUCAACUAUAUAAGGCAGCUAAGAACGCCUCCAAAGGCAAUGGAAAAAUAGAUCAUCAGAUCAAUACUGGGCAAUACAAUCCAAAAAAUACAGGACGUAGGGUAUUAUCCUCCGAAGGUCUAAAAUUAUCUAAAUCCCUCGUGUUCCCUUUGUGUCCUCGCGAUCACCUUCGAGUUCUGGGCCCUCGGAUCCAUCCUGCUCGACUCCCUCGGAUCCAUCCUGCUCGACUCCACGCCCACCCAGAGGAGCAAGCACUAGUAGAGAAUUGGGCUUUAGUCCCGGUUGGUAGGGUGCAAAUAUCCCGAAAAUCCAUCCGGGAUAAACCAACCGGGACAAAAGGGGGGUCUUUUAUCCCGGGUCACUCAACCGGGACAAAAGACUCCCUUUUAUCUCGGUUGGUAAUACCAAUCGGGAUAAAACGGGUCACCAUGGCCAGCGCUGCAAAAAAAAAAUCCCGAGCUCCCAGGAGGCCCACACACGCACGUCGCAAGUCACAAGUCACGUAAUUUUUCACGCGAAAUAUGCGCGUGCGCGGUUCGUGGGAUUCGAUCCCACAACCUCUUGAGGAUGACGGAAGAGAAGAGGGUGAUUGCCAAACUCAUACCGGGAGCGAUUGGUGAUUGCGAAGGCGAGGGCCUUGAUCCACGUGGUGCCACACUUGGGGUUCGUUGCGAGAACGAUGUCGUCGUGGUGAGGUUCGAAGGUGUUCCGGAGGUGCAUGAUGGUUGCAGCGAAACGUGGACGGAGCCGGUAGUUCUUGUAGAGCACCAAUGGCUGCGCCCACCCCUCCCUCGUCGGAAGUUUGGAUAGAGGAUCAUCAGUACCGUGGCUAUUUGUGGCGCUUCCCUCCACGCGUUGUGCCAUAGCUCAGCUGCUUUGGAGUGUUCUUGCGCGCUCUACAGCUGGGACGAUGGAUUGGGUGGCUACUUGUAUAAUUCAUGCAUGCUUCUUUGGGUACAGAUUCGGUCAAUAAUGGUGUGUAGUAUUAAAGUAUAAUCUCGCGAUUAGCGAGUAUGUUUUUUUAUUCCUAAUAAAGAAAAGGGACAGAUAAGAUCAUAUGGUGGGGACAUAGCUCAAGUUCUUUAAUUUGGAUCUCCAGCAGGGAUAUGGCCCCGGCUGCGGCGGACGGAGCUCCGAUCGAUCCUCCCUAGAACAAUGCAGAAACAUGCAUGCUUCGACGGCUAGAACAUCCGCCGGAGACGAGGAUGACAGCUACCACGCGACGGAGGAUGCCGACGGCGAUGAGAGCGCCGUCCAUCGUGCUCCGGUACCGUCGGUGGGGUUCUCGAUGUCCGCCGUGACAUGUCACAUUCAUCUGUCCUUUUGCCAUAAAAAAAGGCAGCCCCAUGUGCGUGGUCUGCUCUGCUCCUCCAUGCAGGAUGUCCGCAUGGUCUGCUACGAGCACACGCAGGUUCUUCGCAGGCAGAUCGAUCAGGUCGAUGCGCCGACCCAGCUCAUCAGCUCCUCCACGUACGGUCGCCGCCGGCUUUGUUCUUGCAUCCUCUCGCAAACUUCCUUCCUAACCUGACAUGGGACGAAACGAAACACAUCAAGCAAAAAUGUUGCUCAAGCCGGCCUUACUGGUUGUGUUUCUCUAAAGCUCAAGGACAAGUAGGAUCGUAUCACAUCACCUACCUUGCCUCUCCUGAAGCCUGAUUUCUCGUAGACCACAUUGGGUCAUGGAUGGGGUUCUCAAUCACUACCGGAAACCGAGUGUUUGCCGAGUGCAAGAAUCUUUGCCGAGUGCAUUCUAUCGGGCACUUGGCAAAGAAGCUCUUUGCCGAGUGCUGCCAAAAACACUCAGCAAAAGAGCCAAAAAAUACUGGGCAAAGCCUGGCACUUGGCAACCCAGAAAACAAACAAUCGGCAAAGAUAGGCACUCAACAAAGAAAUAUGUUUGCCGAGUGUAAUUAUUUAGCACUUGGCAAAUAAUUUCACUUUUUUUUUCUAUUCUGGCUUUGAAACUUUUUCUACUCUCCACAUAAAAUAUGUGGUAUUCCAUGUUAAAAUUUGAUAUAUUUCUGGAUCCGUUUGCUAUAUUUAAUUAGUUUAUUGCAUUUCUAGGAAUUUUUUAGUAUAAGUCAAACUUGAACAACAAGUGAUUCAAAUAAUUGAAUAAAAUGAGUAGAAAAAUUGAUAUUUAUGUUAUUGAGUCUAGUGUGAGACCUUACCCAGGAAAUGAAAAGAAAUUUCGAACAUCUUGUUCAGAAAACACGACCACUAACGUUUGGCCGAAUGGUUUUUAAAUUCUAAAAAAAGCAAAUGAAGUCCGAAAAUCAUGAGAUUUUUCUGUGUGAUGAUAUCAUACAUGGAGGCUGUGGUAAAAAAUUGAGAUUUUGCACAAUUUGUCAUGUACGAUGUUUACAAACCGAAGCAUCUCAGAAAAAGAAUCGUAGCGUUGAGAAGGAUUCGGUAAGAUUUGGAGUCAAAGUGACGGUCGAAUUGGGGUUUGACUUCAAAAUCUUUUGUAUAGGCAAUAGAGAACAUAGAUUAUUUCAUGUGAAAUUUUGAUAAUUUUUUUGGAUCCGUUUGAUAAUUUUAAUUUAUUAAGUGUAAUUAUAAAAUUUUAAUUGAUAUAAAUUAAAUUUGAGCUGUAAUUGCACAAAAUAAUGGAGUAAUAUUUGUAGAAAAAUCAUAUAUAUAUAUAUAUAUAUAUUGUUGAGUCAAUUUGAUAAGGUAUUUUCAAAGGACAUCAGGAAAAUACGGUAUGGAAAAGAAGAAAAUGGGAACCGAGUCUUUACUGAGUGCCAUGUCUGACACUCGGUAAAGUAGCUUUGCCGAGUGUCCUAGAUUCGACACUCAGCACCUUAUAAAACUCACCCGGCCGCCCCCCCUUCCUCCCCCCUCCCCUCCCUCUCCCGGCGCCACCCCACUCUCCUACCGGCACCGCCCCCUCCCCUCCCUCCGUCUCCCACCAGCGCCCCCUCCCUCUCCCGCUGGCACCGCCCCCUCCCCUCCCUCUCCCCCCAUCUCCCUCUUUUUUUUUUGCACAGGCGGUGGCGGCGGCGUUGUGGUGGCGGCGACGGUGUCAUGAUGGUCACGGCGGGCGUGUUUUUAUAUUUUUCGAAAUAUUUUUUGCCGAGUGUCGAUUUAGCACUCGGCAACGUCUUUGCCGAGUGCUAAAAAAAAACAUUCGGCAAAGACAGCUUUGCCGAGUCUCUGUUUGCUGAGUGCCGUUUGCUAAGUGAAACACUUGGCAAAAGCUUUUCCGAGUGUUUUUUUUACCUUCGCCGUGUGCCAUGGGUACACGGCAAACCUGGGCAUUCCGGCAGUGAAUGUUGGCCAUGCAUGCAUCGUCCUAGCUAGGCUUAAUGACACCUACCCAUCGAGAUAAAUGGUAUCGAAUUUAGUUUCUGCUGAUUGGACUCUAAACAGAAAAGAUUAACACCUCUAAUUUUGAUGACCCAGGUAUAUAAUAAGGAUUAAUUUGCGAGCACGAUUGAGCUAAUCUAAUCUGUACUCCCUCAGUCCCAAAAUAAGUGUUCAUUUAGAAAAUUUUGGACACAUUAGUAGUUGUGAGUAGUGACCAUGCUAUUCCUUAUUACUCAUAUUAGUUGUGGUUAAAAGCUAUCCAGUCUGUUUGAUUUUCUGGAUCUUGAAUACAUGCACGUGCAUUGGAACCAGAGAAAAACAUCAAUUGAUCAUUUUAUUGGAUCUAUGAACUUCUCAACACACUUGUUUUUAUUGGUGCGAGUGUUACUUUAAUUAGAUGAGUCUCGCUCGAAGCUAAAUGAACUUUUGACAAAAUUUGAAAGAUAUACGAACACUUAUUUUGGGAUAGAUCGGGACGGAGGGAGUAAGCCGAUACUUAAAAUAAGGAAGAUGGUUGGUGGCAUGUCACGUUCCUCUGUCCUUUUACCAUCAAACAAAGCAUUAUAUUAUUACAUGGAUCGAUGAACUCUCACACCGGCAGCGGCGGCUCCUCGUCGGCUUGCAGUUUCCCCUCUAUAUUUCCGUAGACACGACGACGACGACGAAAACGCAGCAGCAGCCAGCGAGGAGGAAUCCCAUGGGCCAUGGCCCCCAGGACGAGCAGGACCACAGCCACCACGCGAACGCCCAGGCCGGCCGCCCGAUGAGCACGGUAGAAGAGCAUCGAGAGGACGCAGAAGGCGAUGAGCGCGCCAACCAUGCACAGCAGCGGCGCGCAUCGACGGUCGGAUCCGGCCUCGCGUCAACGACGCCGCUGCCGCCGCCGGGAUUCUCGAUGUCCGCCAUAGCAGCUAGCCUUUGGUGUUCGUUACUAGCUAGGGGGAAAAAAAGCAAGCGAGCUCAAUGCAAUCAACGUAAAGUCUCCCGAAAAGGGCCCCACAAGCGAAUGCACCGCCUCCCGCCGUCCCGUGGGCGCUCGGUCCCCACGCGCGCCGGCGGCACCAACCUCUCCCGCUGAUGCUCCGGUCCCCCGCGCGUGCCGGCUCUACCGCCGCCUCCCGCGGGCACGCCGGCCUUACUGCCUCCGCGUUGCACACGCCGUGGUCUGAGAAGCUGACUGAGGUUGAAGAAGAACAAAAAUCUGAAAAUGUCGGCUCUUCUUUGAAAAAAAUGUUGAAUCCGGUUUUCCAAAAUGUUGAAGUAGAUAGAUAAAAAUGUUGAAUGUAGUUUUUUCCCUUAUGAAAUGUUGAUCUAGAAUGAAAAUGUUGAAUCUGUUCAGUUUAGAUGUUGAUUAAACUGUUGAAAAAUGUUGAAACUAAUUUGUUAAAAUGUUGACUUAAACUUUUAAACGGGUCUAAUGGCCUUUAAAACUAUGUUGCUUAUCUAGCUUCCACUAGCUACAUAGGAGGCCCCGCGGCACUACUAGCAGAAAUUUCGCUCAAUCAAAAAGAAAGCAGCAAGUAGAAUUCCAUUAAAGAAUCAUGACUUGCGCAAUGGAUGACUUUGUUUAUUAAUUCAAACAAUCGAAACAUGACGUUAAAACAUACAACAACAUAUAAGAAAAGUAAACCACAUGAACAUAAAGAACCAGGAAGGCCAAUUUCUUCCAUUUCUUCACUCAUGUGAUUCAACCGGGUCCAGCUUCUCCUUUCUUCAGGGAUUGUCGGCAAUCAUGACGCGUUUAAGAGAAAUGUACAACAUGCAAAUAUGACAUGUUUAUUCUUGCAAACAUGCAAAUAUGAUGGCAAAUAUAAAGCAUACAAAGAAAAUAAAGCAAAAGGAGAUGCACAUUAUGAUGGCAAAUAUAAAGCAUACAAAGAAAAUAAAGCAAAAGGAGAUGCACAUUAGAGCACAAAGCCAGUUCCCUUCAGUUUCUCUUCCACGAUGCAAUCUAGCUUUCUCCCCAUCUCUUGGCUCAUGUGAUUCACCCAAUCCCCCACCUUCCCUUUCCUGAAGAACACUGACUUCUCAACAAUUAUGUUGCCACGCCGGACCAUGUCACCUGUCUGGUUGAUGUCCAAGCUGCUAAGCUUAUCAAAGCUGCACAACCGCACCACCUCCUCAGGUAUCCCGUCUUCUUCUUCCUUGAUACUGAAAGGGACACCGAGGAAUGUUGCAAGUCUGAUGACAUGCUUCACUGGUUCUGACAUCAUAUCUUCAUACUUGAGAAAAAGAAUUUUGUUAGGGCAUGCGAUGCUCUCCCUCCAGUACUCAAGGCAAUGCUCCCAAAAAGGUCCGUAGGGUGAGAAACCUUCGGAAAACAUGUUGAAAGCAGCCUCAAAGUCGAUGCUAUGUUCCCUAUGAAGCUUUUUCUCGAAGUGCCACCGGGACACAAAGGCGUCCUUUGGAUCUCGACAAACGUACACAAUACGACAACCACAAGUAGCUAAGAAAUUUGGGAACAACGAGAGGGGCAUAUGGGUAGCAAGAAGCCUUGGAGAUGGGAGUGUCUCUACAUAGGUCAUGUCACCAUCUCGAGGGAUCUCGAGGAAUGGCACCACCUCCUGGGGAUGACGGAAGAGAAGAGGGUGAUUGCCAAACUCAUACCGGGAGCGAUUGGUGAUUGCGAAGGCGAGAGCCUUGAUCCACGUGGUGCCACACUUGGGGUUCGUUGCGAGAACGAUGUCGUCGUGGCGAGCUUCGAAGGUGUUCUGGAGGCGCAUGAUGGUUGCAGCGAAACGUGGACGGAGCCAGUAGUUCUUGUAGAGCACCAAUGGCUCCGACCACCCCUCCCUCGUUGGAAGUUUGGAUAGAGGAUCAUCAGUGCCGUGGCUAUUUGUGGCGCUUCCCUCCAUGGCUUGUGC
RNAcentral lists this long non-coding RNA (14168 nucleotides) under Setaria italica (foxtail millet). RNAcentral's name for it is "long non-coding RNA (SITA_LNC004201)". The record is from RNAcentral. Lineage: Eukaryota; Viridiplantae; Streptophyta; Magnoliopsida; Poales; Poaceae.